This 671-nucleotide ribosomal RNA is filed under the name Weissella paramesenteroides. RNAcentral describes it as "bacterial SSU rRNA". It matches the Rfam family "Bacterial small subunit ribosomal RNA", at positions 56 to 684 of the family's 1533-position model. The record is from RNAcentral. Lineage: Bacteria; Bacillati; Bacillota; Bacilli; Lactobacillales; Lactobacillaceae.
UGCAAGUCGAACGCUUUGUCUUUAAUUGAUAUGAAGAGCUUGCUCUGAUUUGAUUUUAUCUGACAAAGAGUGGCGAACGGGUGAGUAACACGUGGGUAACCUACCUCUUAGCAGGGGAUAACAUUUGGAAACAAGUGCUAAUACCGUAUAAUACUAACAACCGCAUGGUUGUUAAUUGAAAGAUGGUUCUGCUAUCACUAAGAGAUGGACCCGCGGUGCAUUAGCUAGUUGGUAAGGUAAUGGCUUACCAAGGCGAUGAUGCGUAGCCGAGUUGAGAGACUGAUCGGCCACAAUGGGACUGAGACACGGCCCAUACUCCUACGGGAGGCAGCAGUAGGGAAUCUUCCACAAUGGGCGCAAGCCUGAUGGAGCAACGCCGCGUGUGUGAUGAAGGGUUUCGGCUCGUAAAACACUGUUAUAAGAGAAGAACGACAUUGAGAGUAACUGUUCAGUGUGUGACGGUAUCUUAUCAGAAAGGAACGGCUAAAUACGUGCCAGCAGCCGCGGUAAUACGUAUGUUCCAAGCGUUAUCCGGAUUUAUUGGGCGUAAAGCGAGCGCAGACGGUUAUUUAAGUCUGAAGUGAAAGCCCUCAGCUCAACUGAGGAAGGGCUUUGGAAACUGGAUAACUUGAGUGCAGUAGAGGAAAGUGGAACUCCAUGUGUAGCGGUGA